This is a non-coding RNA of Caerostris extrusa, 113 nucleotides long. The record is from the annotation of a GenBank genome assembly. Lineage: Eukaryota; Metazoa; Arthropoda; Arachnida; Araneae; Araneidae.
ACGGCCAUACCAUGCUGAAUAUACCGGUUCUCGUUAGAUCACCGAAGUCAAGCAUCAUCGGGCGCUGUCAGUAGAUUGGGUGGGUGACCACAUAUAAGCACCACGUGCCGUUG